Molecule: ribosomal RNA, 292 nt
Filed under: uncultured prokaryote
Description: partial 16S ribosomal RNA
Rfam family: Bacterial small subunit ribosomal RNA
Source: RNAcentral
GUGUCAGCAGCCGCGGUAAUACGGAGGGUGCAAGCGUUAAUCGGAAUUACUGGGCGUAAAGGGCGCGUAGGCGGCGUGUCACGCCGGGUGUGAAAGCCCCGGGCUCAACCUGGGAAUGGCAUCCGGAACGGGCAGGCUAGAGUGCAGGAGAGGAAGGUAGAAUUCCCGGUGUAGCGGUGAAAUGCGCAGAGAUCGGGAGGAAUACCAGUGGCGAAGGCGGCUGCCUGGGCUGACAUUGACGCUGAGGUGCGAAAGCGUGGGUAGCAAACAGGAUUAGAAACCCCAGUAGUCC